GGAACACCCCUUGCCUUUGCAGGUUGGGAAUCUCAGAGGGAGCAGGAGCAACUGGAGCAGGAAAGGAGACCUUACAUGUCUCCACAGUACACAUUGUGUGGAGUCUGCACCAGUCAGCCAGUGGAGAGCACAGACUGACGGCAGUGUGUGCGAUACAGUGGAUGACAGGAAGCUACAGCCACACCAGCGAGGCUGACUGUGCGAUGGCCACUUUGCUCAGUGCUUCGUGUGCAGGAGGACCAGGCAGAAUGGUCCAAAGUCUCCGUCUCUACGUCUGCUUUGCCAUUCUCAAGUGACAAACCCUCACAGUCUAGCAAAAUGUCACUCACUUGAGAGUCUGAGGGUUCAAAGAGGGCACGUGUAUAAAGUGCAGGACAUUGGUUUUGAUACAUAAGAAUCCUAAUACCAGCAAAUAUACUUAAUUGGUAUGCACAGGUCUCUGCCAUCUAGAGAGGCCCUGAGUCUGCCCCACGCAGGACCGAGACUUCUGUGCCCGCUCCUGCUCCAUCCAGUUUCCCCCAUUUUCUUUUUCCUCUCCUCUCUUUUGUUACUAAGGUUCCAGGGGUGGAACCCAGGGCCCUGUGUAGACUAUCGUUUAGUUACUGCCAGCCUGGACAUUCUCUUCGUAAUAUCCGACCCUAGCUUUCACCCUCUGCUCCAGGUCAAAACUCAAAUUUGAGACACAAAACUCCCCAAGCCUUAUCAGUGCCACCAUCGGAAUCCGAGGGGAUCCAACUUCUCACCAAGCCAUGACUACCAGUCCCUCCACCCGUGGCUCCGGCCUCCAUCCUCAUCCAUGGACACGCAUUGGCAAGCAGGUGUCCGUGCACAUGUGAAUGUAAGAUGCAGAGGCAGUGGUUUGCAUCAAGAAGUGGUUCCUUUGACGGUUCUCCCCCUCCCCCUCUGCUAAACCUAGAGCUCCCUGAUUUGUCUAGGCUGGCUCGCCAAUGAGCUCCUGGAAGACACUUGUCUGCCCCACCCGCAGAGGUGUUACAGACUUACAGAUGUGUCCUGCUGCUUUACCUGACUAGGCGGGGGCUGGGGAUCUGAACUCACGUCCUUUUAUUCUGCACAGCAGGCUGUUUACCAACAGAGCCAUCUCCUCAAGCUCAGAAUCCUCUCUGGCCUUCCACAUCACUCUGAAAAUACCAUCUACACUUUCAACCAAGCAUACAGUUCCGCGUGACCUAGCUCCUUGAGGAGGUCAACGACCAAAUAGUUGCUGCUUCCUGAAUCUCACACACCAGCCGUUCCCUUCACUGCACAAUGGACAAUGCAACGUAUCUGUUGAGUGGCUGAGCAAUCACAACAAGGUUGAAUGGUUCGCCUUUACCACAUGCUUCUGACCCAAAAGCAAUGGAACCACUGGAUCAUGGAUCCCAGUCUGGCUCCAAAUGCAAGC
Molecule: non-coding RNA, 1402 nt
Organism: Peromyscus maniculatus bairdii (prairie deer mouse)
Lineage: Eukaryota; Metazoa; Chordata; Mammalia; Rodentia; Cricetidae
Source: RefSeq, a predicted model, not a curated record